This 253-nucleotide ribosomal RNA is filed under the name Oscillibacter ruminantium GH1. Its description in RNAcentral is "partial 16S ribosomal RNA". It matches the Rfam family "Bacterial small subunit ribosomal RNA", at positions 524 to 776 of the family's 1533-position model. The record is from RNAcentral. Lineage: Bacteria; Bacillati; Bacillota; Clostridia; Eubacteriales; Oscillospiraceae.
UACGUAGGUGGCAAGCGUUGUCCGGAUUUACUGGGUGUAAAGGGCGUGUAGCCGGGGAGACAAGUCAGAUGUGAAAUGUGGAGGCUCAACCUCCAAACUGCAUUUGAAACUGUUUCUCUUGAGUAUCGGAGAGGUAAUCGGAAUUCCUAGUGUAGCGGUGAAAUGCGUAGAUAUUAGGAAGAACACCAGUGGCGAAGGCGGAUUACUGGACGACAACUGACGGUGAGGCGCGAAAGCGUGGGGAGCAAACAGG